Molecule: ribosomal RNA, 253 nt
Filed under: uncultured bacterium
Lineage: Bacteria
Description: partial 16S ribosomal RNA
Rfam family: Bacterial small subunit ribosomal RNA
Source: RNAcentral
UACGUAGGGUGCAAGCGUUGUCCGGAAUUAUUGGGCGUAAAGAGCUCGUAGGCGGUUUGUUGCGUCGGCUGUGAAAUCCCGAGGCUCAACCUCGGGUCUGCAGUCGAUACGAGCAAACUAGAGUGUUGCAGGGGAGACUGGAAUUCCUGGUGUAGCGGUGGAAUGCGCAGAUAUCAGGAGGAACACCAAUGGCGAAGGCAGAUCUCUGGGCCGUAACUGACGCUGAGGAGCGGAAGCAUGGGGAGCGAACAGG